UUAAGCGACUAAGCGUACACGGUGGAUGCCCUGGCAGUCAGAGGCGAUGAAGGACGUGCUAAUCUGCGAUAAGCGUCGGUGAGGUGAUAUGAACCGUUAUAACCGGCGAUUUCCGAAUGGGGAAACCCAGUGUGAUUCGUCACACUAUCAUUAACUGAAUCCAUAGGUUAAUGAGGCGAACCGGGGGAACUGAAACAUCUAAGUACCCCGAGGAAAAGAAAUCAACCGAGAUUCCCCCAGUAGCGGCGAGCGAACGGGGAGGAGCCCAGAGCCUGAAUCAGUGUGUGUGUUAGUGGAAGCGUCUGGAAAGGCGCGCGAUACAGGGUGACAGCCCCGUACACAAAAAUGCACAUACUGUGAGCUCGAUGAGUAGGGCGGGACACGUGGUAUCCUGUCUGAAUAUGGGGGGACCAUCCUCCAAGGCUAAAUACUCCUGACUGACCGAUAGUGAACCAGUACCGUGAGGGAAAGGCGAAAAGAACCCCGGCGAGGGGAGUGAAAAAGAACCUGAAACCGUGUACGUACAAGCAGUGGGAGCCUCUUAAUGGGGUGACUGCGUACCUUUUGUAUAAUGGGUCAGCGACUUAUAUUCUGUAGCAAGGUUAACCGAAUAGGGGAGCCGAAGGGAAACCGAGUCUUAACUGGGCGUUAAGUUGCAGGGUAUAGACCCGAAACCCGGUGAUCUAGCCAUGGGCAGGUUGAAGGUUGGGUAACACUAACUGGAGGACCGAACCGACUAAUGUUGAAAAAUUAGCGGAUGACUUGUGGCUGGGGGUGAAAGGCCAAUCAAACCGGGAGAUAGCUGGUUCUCCCCGAAAGCUAUUUAGGUAGCGCCUCGUGAAUUCAUCUCCGGGGGUAGAGCACUGUUUCGGCAAGGGGGUCAUCCCGACUUACCAACCCGAUGCAAACUGCGAAUACCGGAGAAUGUUAUCACGGGAGACACACGGCGGGUGCUAACGUCCGUCGUGAAGAGGGAAACAACCCAGACCGCCAGCUAAGGUCCCAAAGUCAUGGUUAAGUGGGAAACGAUGUGGGAAGGCCCAGACAGCCAGGAUGUUGGCUUAGAAGCAGCCAUCAUUUAAAGAAAGCGUAAUAGCUCACUGGUCGAGUCGGCCUGCGCGGAAGAUGUAACGGGGCUAAACCAUGCACCGAAGCUGCGGCAGCGACACUAUGUGUUGUUGGGUAGGGGAGCGUUCUGUAAGCCUGUGAAGGUGUACUGUGAGGUAUGCUGGAGGUAUCAGAAGUGCGAAUGCUGACAUAAGUAACGAUAAAGCGGGUGAAAAGCCCGCUCGCCGGAAGACCAAGGGUUCCUGUCCAACGUUAAUCGGGGCAGGGUGAGUCGACCCCUAAGGCGAGGCCGAAAGGCGUAGUCGAUGGGAAACAGGUUAAUAUUCCUGUACUUGGUGUUACUGCGAAGGGGGGACGGAGAAGGCUAUGUUGGCCGGGCGACGGUUGUCCCGGUUUAAGCGUGUAGGCUGGUUUUCCAGGCAAAUCCGGAAAACCAAGGCUGAGGCGUGAUGACGAGGCACUACGGUGCUGAAGCGACAAAUGCCCUGCUUCCAGGAAAAGCCUCUAAGCAUCAGGUAACAUCAAAUCGUACCCCAAACCGACACAGGUGGUCAGGUAGAGAAUACCAAGGCGCUUGAGAGAACUCGGGUGAAGGAACUAGGCAAAAUGGUGCCGUAACUUCGGGAGAAGGCACGCUGAUAUGUAGGUGAAGCGACUUGCUCGUGGAGCUGAAAUCAGUCGAAGAUACCAGCUGGCUGCAACUGUUUAUUAAAAACACAGCACUGUGCAAACACGAAAGUGGACGUAUACGGUGUGACGCCUGCCCGGUGCCGGAAGGUUAAUUGAUGGGGUUAGCGGCAACGCGAAGCUCUUGAUCGAAGCCCCGGUAAACGGCGGCCGUAACUAUAACGGUCCUAAGGUAGCGAAAUUCCUUGUCGGGUAAGUUCCGACCUGCACGAAUGGCGUAAUGAUGGCCAGGCUGUCUCCACCCGAGACUCAGUGAAAUUGAACUCGCUGUGAAGAUGCAGUGUACCCGCGGCAAGACGGAAAGACCCCGUGAACCUUUACUAUAGCUUGACACUGAACAUUGAGCCUUGAUGUGUAGGAUAGGUGGGAGGCUUUGAAGUGUGGACGCCAGUCUGCAUGGAGCCGACCUUGAAAUACCACCCUUUAAUGUUUGAUGUUCUAACGUGGGCCCGUAAUCCGGGUUGCGGACAGUGUCUGGUGGGUAGUUUGACUGGGGCGGUCUCCUCCUAAAGAGUAACGGAGGAGCACGAAGGUUGGCUAAUCCUGGUCGGACAUCAGGAGGUUAGUGCAAUGGCAUAAGCCAGCUUGACUGCGAGCGUGACGGCGCGAGCAGGUGCGAAAGCAGGUCAUAGUGAUCCGGUGGUUCUGAAUGGAAGGGCCAUCGCUCAACGGAUAAAAGGUACUCCGGGGAUAACAGGCUGAUACCGCCCAAGAGUUCAUAUCGACGGCGGUGUUUGGCACCUCGAUGUCGGCUCAUCACAUCCUGGGGCUGAAGUAGGUCCCAAGGGUAUGGCUGUUCGCCAUUUAAAGUGGUACGCGAGCUGGGUUUAGAACGUCGUGAGACAGUUCGGUCCCUAUCUGCCGUGGGCGCUGGAGAACUGAGGGGGGCUGCUCCUAGUACGAGAGGACCGGAGUGGACGCAUCACUGGUGUUCGGGUUGUCAUGCCAAUGGCACUGCCCGGUAGCUAAAUGCGGAAGAGAUAAGUGCUGAAAGCAUCUAAGCACGAAACUUGCCCCGAGAUGAGUUCUCCCUGAGCCUUUAAGGGUCCUGAAGGAACGUUGAAGACGACGACGUUGAUAGGCCGGGUGUGUAAGCGCAGCGAUGCGUUGAGCUAACCGGUACUAAUGAACCGUGAGGCUUAACCUU
Molecule: ribosomal RNA, 2902 nt
Filed under: Escherichia coli
Lineage: Bacteria; Pseudomonadati; Pseudomonadota; Gammaproteobacteria; Enterobacterales; Enterobacteriaceae
Description: bacterial LSU rRNA
Rfam family: Bacterial large subunit ribosomal RNA
Source: RNAcentral